Molecule: non-coding RNA, 72 nt
Organism: Tothia fuscella
Lineage: Eukaryota; Fungi; Ascomycota; Dothideomycetes; Venturiales; Cylindrosympodiaceae
Source: the annotation of a GenBank genome assembly
GUCCGGCUGGUGUAAUGGUAACAUCUCCGACUUUCAGAAAGGAAGCUUGAGGUUCCAAUCCUCAGCAGGGCA